This is a long non-coding RNA of Physeter macrocephalus (sperm whale), 3238 nucleotides long. RefSeq lists it as uncharacterized. Lineage: Eukaryota; Metazoa; Chordata; Mammalia; Artiodactyla; Physeteridae. The record is from RefSeq and is a predicted model, not a curated record. The transcript has 4 exons.
UUCUCUAUACAGUCUCGUAAGCCAGAAGGCAGCACCAACAGUAUACCCUUAGCGCUCUGGCCUUUAUGGAGAUAUUUCAUACAAAGGCAUAGCUAUGUAGAAUUAAAAAAACACCACUAUACUUUCUUGCCUUCUUCUCCAUUCCUUCAAUUCUUUUUCUUCCUCAUUCCUGCUUUUAAGGGAAGGAAGUACAGCAGUUCUGCAUUUAAACAGCUGUAAUAAUACGGCUUUCUUGCCACUUUCCAUCUGAAUCGUCUGUCCACCAGUCUUGAAUGGUAAUACAAUCUAAACCGAUUUCACUGAAGCACACACCGCAAACAAAUCCCUCGCUCCAGUCUCAAUGAAGGCUAAUGAAAACAAUGAAAGCCGCAAUGAGAGAGCAGUUUUCUCUCUUCACCUAUGGAAAUGGGAGUAAUGGAGGUGAGGCCAGAGAGACAGGCAAAGACCAGAACAUUCAGGGCCACGCAGGAGGUGUUAGAAAAUUAGGAGUUUAUUGUGAAGACUCCGAGGAGCUACUAAAGACUUGAACCUGGAAUGAGACAAGCCCCUGUGUGCUUUGGAAUCAUCAUUCUGACUGCAAAGUGGACACAGAGCAGCAUGGGAGCAAACAGGAGCGAGAAGAUGGAUCUGAAGGCUGCUGUGGUCGUCAGGUUAGAGGAGCUGCGGUCCUGAAUGAUGGUGGUGGAGGCAGGCUAGCAAUUAGAGAAACAAUACAGAAUCUUGCACCUCUCUUCCACAUUUCACAUGAGAAUAAAUACAAGCUAAUAUGUACCUAAUAAUAAACAAAUCAAACUUUUCUCAAAGUUAAAAUGCCAUCCUUAAAGCAAAAAGUAGAUAGUAGCCUUCUAGAAAGCAAUGGGAGAAGCAAAUUGGUGUUCUCUGCCUGCCAGUGGACAAGCUAAAGGCUGCUGAGUUCCUGGGACCAUGCUGUGUCAUUUCCUUACUUCCUGGGACUCACAGCUGUCCUUAUCCUUGCGAAGGUUUAGCCCAGCUUCCAAACUCCAGUGGGUUCCUCAAUACUUAUUUUGACAAGUGUGUUCUCCCUGAAGCCCCAGGAUGCACUGCUGCUAGUGUCAAACUUUAGUUCUCACAUGUAGCAAAGAAUUUGCUCUUUUGGCUGGCAGUGUGUUUCUCAUGAAUGAACUGUAGAUCACUCUGGGAAAUCUCUCUGUCCCUGUGAAUGACUGUUGAGUCAGGAAUUCCUCAACUGUGAAUUAUUAAGGCUGUAGAGGUACAGCAGUUAAAAAUGGCAGUUAACACCUAGAAAAUGAAGGCCUUCGAAUUUCUACAUAUUUUGCUACUAAGUGACAUCAGUUGGAACCACAGUCUUCCAGCCUUAAUCACUGAAAAUUCUGAAUAAAAUAUACUCAUUUUACCCUCAGCUUUUCUUCUGAGUUUGGCAAACUACAGCCUGCAAACCAAAUCCAGCAAACCAAAUCCUUUUGUAAUUAAAGUUUUAUUGGAACCCAACCCCACCUAUUGUUUACAUACUGGCUCUGACUGCUUUCACAUUCCAACAGCUGAGCUGAGUAGUUGGGACAAAGACCUUAUAGCUUACAAAGCCAAACAUAUUUACUAUGUGGCCCCUACAGAAAAAGUCUGCAGAAGUCUGCUCUAAGUGAAGCAGCACCUAAAAUAUUCUCUUUAAUAAACGUUAUUGAAAGGAUAAAAAUGAACAGUCAUCGAAAUCACAAAAGAAGAAGAAAGGUUUAAAAACACCCCAAAGCUACAGCCCAUAUCUUCUUUACACUCAGAUGUAUAAAACUCGAGAGCUGCUUGAGAGUGGAGCACACUGGAAACCACCCACCUGUGACAUCAGCAGAUGGAAAGGCUGUCACUUUUCUAAAAGGGAUCCUAGGGAGGCCGAUUAACCUGUUAGAAAACCAUUUAAGGGAUAUCUGCCAGUCCCCACAGACAGACUCGAAUUUAAGAGGAUAGAGAUAUCAGAGUGUUUCGUGAGGUACUUAUAAGUUCGGAUCCUUAACGCUGCAAGGAUCCCAAGCGGAGGCUCACACACACUGUGCAGCAGCGUCACUAAUGAAUCCACACCUCCCCCGAUCCCCAUCUGACCCAAAGACAGGAGUUAACACGACCAGAGGACAAACCCUGAGCCUGGAGCAACCACGCCUGUCUGACUAGAGUAACCUUUCCUCUUAUAAUAGGAAAGCUUCGGUACCACUCCGUGAACAGAGAGAGUACCUGCUUUAAUAAAUCUGGGCAUGAGAACGCAAAAUCCUUCUUCAUUUCCACCUCAGAAAGAAUCAUCCAGCACUGUUUUAACUUCACCACAGCAUGAUCUCCCUGUGGGUUCCCGGAGGCACUUGUGGUAAUCCUUAUUCGUUUCAUGGCCUGUACAGAAUAAAACCCAUCCAAAUCAAAUACCCUGCCUUCCCAUAGCUUCCCCCACUUUCAGCUUGCCUCCCCUGGCCAAGCUAGCAUGAAGUACAAAAUAUUGAUGGGAAAGGCACUAUACACGCUUGAAGAGCCUGUCAAAUUACCAUUCACCCUAUAUUUUCUUAUCUCAACAUGUAUAAUAGUAAAUAUAAUGGAUUAGUAAAUGUUGGAGCAUAGCUCUGGCAAUUAAUGGAAUAAAAUCUUCUUGGGGUACAUGUUCUAUCCCCUCCUCUCACCGCCAUAUACAAAGUCUCUGGUGUAAGAGCUCUUGUGUGACAGACAAAUAACAGCACUUUCCCCAUAGGCUUAAUUCCUCUCCCGUCUCCUUUUUUACUUAGACUCUGCUAUUAAUUUUCACCUCUGACAGUAAAAACCCCAGGACAAGAUUGUCACAAAAAGCAUUAUCUUUCAGACCAAUGGUGAACUCGAUUCCAAACCCCACUAUUUAUCAGCCUGCGGCAAAAGUGCAACUGCUUAGGAAAUAUGUCCUCUCUUUCAAAUGCAUGUUCAGUUCAUCUAGGCAACAUUUCACCUCAUUCUACAUGAAUUCAAUACCCUGACUUUUCACCCAUAGAUGCAUAAUCAUAAAGUAUAUAUUACCAGCCAAAAGUGAUCUUUUCAGUAUCCUUUUAUAGGUGAUACAGAGUCCUUCACUUUCAGCUUAAUAUGUUUAUAAUACACCAGGUACAUGUUAUUUUUUUUUCAGUUAAACUUUCUAACUCUAAAAAUGAAGGUAAAAAUAUAGACUAAAUGGCAACAGGGACAAUAGGAAUAGACAAGAUUAGCUAACCUACUUCCACACUACUUCUUGAUAGAUUUUUGGUCUCCCACAUCUCCCCUGCUA